RNAcentral lists this ribosomal RNA (1439 nucleotides) under metagenome. RNAcentral's name for it is "bacterial LSU rRNA". It matches the Rfam family "Bacterial large subunit ribosomal RNA", at positions 785 to 2129 of the family's 2925-position model. The record is from RNAcentral.
GUUGUUGAAAAUGGAGCGGAUGACCUGUGGAUAGGGGUGAAAGGCCAAUCAAACUCGGUGAUAGCUGGUUCUCCGCGAAAUGCAUUUAGGUGCAGCGUCGUGCGUUCAACGAUGGGGGUAGAGCACUGAAUGGGCUAGGGGUCCUACAAGACUACCGACCCCAAUCAAACUCCGAAUACCAUCGUUCCAGAGCACGGCAGUGAGACCUCGGGGGAUGAGCUUCGAGGUCGAGAGGGAAACAGCCCAGACCGCCGGCUAAGGUCCCAAAAUCUGAACUAAGUGGUAAACGAUGUGAGAUUGCGAAGACAGCCAGGAGGUUGGCUUGGAAGCAGCCAUCCUUGAAAGAGUGCGUAACAGCUCACUGGUCGAGUGAUCUUGCGCGGACAAUGUAACGGGGCUCAAGUUCAGUACCGAAGCCGCGGAUGCGACUCUUUGAGUCGUGUGGUAGCGGAGCGUCGAGCGUGCAGCGAAGCGGCGGGACAACCCAGCCGUGGAGCGCGUUCGAGUGCGAAUGUUGGCAUGAGUAGCGAAUGAGGGGUGAGAACCCCCUCCGCCGUAUGUCCAAGGGUUCCUGGGCGAGGCCAAUCCUCCCAGGGUGAGUCGGGAGCUAAGGCGAGGCCGAGAGGCGUAGUCGAUGCACAACUGGUUGAUAUUCCAGUACCACCAUGUUCGCGUCCGUCCCAAUACUCUGUUGCUAAGGGGCUGUGUUGACUUCGGUCAACGCGAACCGACCCACAUUGUUGCGGGAAGCUGUAGGGGGACGCAGGAAGGUAGAUGAACCCGGUGAAUGGUAGAACCGGGGUAAGCGUGUAGGAGGAGGACCAGGUAAAUCCGGGCCUCAUAAACUCUGAGACGUGAUACCGAGCCGCUUCAGGCGAAGUCAUUGAUCCUAUGCUGCCUAGAAAAGCCCAGCAGCGAGUUGACAUGGUGCCCGUACCCCAAACCAACACAGGUGGACAGGUAGAGCAUACCAAGGCGAGUGGGAUAACUAUGGUUAAGGAACUCGGCAAAUUGCCUCCGUAACUUCGGGAGAAGGAGGACCCCAGUAGCGUGAUGAGACUUGCUCUCUGAGCGUGAAGGGGUGGCACAAAAUUGAGGGAAGCGACUGUUUACCAAAAACACAGCAGCGUGCUAAGCCGUAAGGCGCUGUAUACGCUGUGACUCCUGCCCGGUGCUGGAAGGUUACGGGGAUGGGUUAGUCCUUCGGGACGAAGCUCUGAACCUAAGCCCCAGUAAACGGCGGCCGUAACUAUAACGGUCCUAAGGUAGCGAAAUUCCUUGUCGGGUAAGUUCCGACCUGCACGAAUGGAGUAACGACUUCCCUACUGUCUCAACCAUAGACCCAGCGAAAUUGAAGUACGAGUAAAGAUGCUCGUUAGCUGCAGAAGGACGGAAAGACCCCGUGGACCUUUACUAUAACUUGAUGUUGUGUUUUGUCU